GAGCACCCGGGAAAUAUGGAGUUUCACGCUGGACUGCAAGAAAUUAUCGCUUACUACGUUUACGCACCCCUGCUGCACACGUUCAUGUUCUGUACGAGCGUCCUUUAUCAUUCUUGGCAUAUUCUUGUUAACGGAUUUUUAACGAACGGGGACUCAUUAUUUACCCAUGUUCUUUGGCGUAAGAACGCCACAAGUUACACAAUGGAUUUGAUGAACAACGUUGAUCGAUGGGGUAACACACAAGCAGCGCUCAAGGACUUCAUGAUUAAUUUCAGCUGCGACAAGUGCAACUACACAGCACGUGACCCAAUUCGUUACCAGAAAUGUGACCACCUAUUUUGCACAACAUGUAUUGGGUCUAAAUCCCAAUGCCCAGUAUGUAAUACUCCAGCCGAAAGAAAUGAAGUUUACCCUGACAAAAUAACACAAAAGUUGAUUGGUUAUGGCAACACGAUUUCUCAAAUAGUUCAUAAGUCUUAUCCAUCAAUGAAAAACGAUGACACAGCUCCGAGUAUUAAUUUGUCAAUAAAAGAACAUAAUGUUUCAACCAAGUCACAGAGUAUUCCCAAAAAUAUAAAUAAACCAAAUAUGAACGGGGAAACACCACUGCACAAAGCAUGUUUAAAGAGAAACAUUGAAAAGGUUCGUUCUCUACUAGAGGCAGGAGCAAACCCCAAUACACAAGAUCAUGCUAAGUGGACUCCUUUGUUCGAGGCAACUAGUUAUGGAUAUUACGAAAUCUGUAAGCUUCUUCUUGAGGCAGGGGCAAAUCCAGAUACACCAGUUGAACAGAAUCGAACAGCUUUACAUGAGGCAGUUAAAUACAACAAUAUUGAAAUGAUAAAACUUCUGCAGCAAUACAAAGCUGAUGUCAAUGCAUGUGACAGUUCUGGUAAAACACCGCUUGAUUAUGCAUCUGAAGAGGUCCACAAAAUUUUAACAUCUUAUAAACCUGCGGACAACAGUCUGGAAAAAAGUUUGUCAAAUAUUUCAAACAUAACAGCAUUGUACAACAACACUUUGACUAGCAAUGGAACUCAUGUACUUGGAUUAAACUUGAGUAGCGAGAGCCAGCUCCUGCUUUCUGAACUAGCUAGUAAAUACAAAAUUAAAACAGUCAAAACGUUUACAGCUGCUGUAACUCACGUUGUUGUGGAAGCUAAUAUUCAGUGUGAUACCCCUGUGAAUUAUGUAGUUUUACUUGCUAUUCUUCAUGGUGACUGGAUCCUCGCCAGUGAAUGUAGUGCUCAGGCAUUGCGCAAAUUUUACAGACCUUAGCACAAUAGAACUGGAAUUUUUUGAAGUACAGGGUACAACAAAUGCUCGAGGUAGUGGCGCUCCUACUCGAGCCAGAGAGAAUAUGCAGAAAAAGAACCCAGGGCUUUUCAAUGGCUGCAAUUUUUUCUUUGCAAUAAACAAC
This 1420-nucleotide unclassified non-coding RNA is filed under the name Neodiprion pinetum (white pine sawfly). RNAcentral describes it as "bRCA1-associated RING domain protein 1-like, transcript variant X7". Lineage: Eukaryota; Metazoa; Arthropoda; Insecta; Hymenoptera; Diprionidae. The record is from RNAcentral.